CACAUAAUGAGCUGCAUAGAGACCUCCUGGCCAAUGUCUGCUGGAGUUGACACACCACAUUUCACAAGUGCUUUGUUGAAGCUUUUUGCACAACAACAACAACAACGACAACAGACCUCUAUACAUGAAAUGCUAUCCUCAGAUCAUGAAGGGGGCCUUGAGGAAGAAGAGCAGGAUAUGAUGGCACCUUCAUGCACCAGCAACAUGGCAGCACAGCAUUGGAUCACCACCUCUUCACCACUCCGUGACACCACACCACCAGAAGGUAC
This 269-nucleotide long non-coding RNA is filed under the name Gouania willdenowi (blunt-snouted clingfish). Its description in RNAcentral is "lncRNA (ENSGWIG00000013596.1)". The record is from RNAcentral. Lineage: Eukaryota; Metazoa; Chordata; Actinopteri; Blenniiformes; Gobiesocidae.